UGGUUGUUGUGAAUCUCUGAAGAGAAUUCAAUUUACUAUGCAGUUGAAUAUUUACUGGUAUGAAUACAUAUUCCCUGAUAGCUGUUGUAAAAGUAAUACAGAGUAAUGGUGGUGGUAAGUUCACAAAAAGGGUAUUUGGUAUUUGUUAUAAUGUUAUUUUAAUAUGUGAUAUUUCAUAGUGCCUUAAUCAUGUCUACUUUUAGGAUGGGCCUGGGCUUCGUCUUUGGGCCAGCUCAGGUACUGAGAGUCUUGACUCAUUCAGUGAUAUUAAUAAUAUUUCUGUUCAUUUUAAUUAAUUAAUUGAGGCACUGAUAUUUAAAUUUUAUUUUUUGUUUUAAAUAGAUAUAUACCUUUUUUUUUUAUAAGUUAAGUUUUUAUUAAAAUAAAAGUAGUUUGAAUAUAUUACAUAAAAGCUAAAAAUUGUUACCUAUCUUUUACAAGUUAUUUUUGAUGAAAUUGUAUGGUUGAUCCAUAUCAUCACACACAAGGCGAUUCAUGGUCUAGUGAUGUAACAUAUUUUCCUCGCUGCCAAUCUCUGUUUUCUCUUGUGCUUGUUUGGCCUGAAAAUGAUCUCCGGCCAUCAUCAGGAGGGUCUCCUUCAAGAUCACUGACUCCCUUCUUGAUCUUCCUUUUUUGUACCAGGUGUUCCUCUCCCUCCAAACUUGUCAUGCUAACGUAGUAACGCCGUUGUAGCACUCCAAUCUCCAGUGCAGCCCAAGCUAAAUGAAAAUUUGGGCUCUAAAAUAUUGACGUAGAAAAAUAAUUAGAGACGGCUUAACUCUAACCUCUUCUAACCCUAAUCCUUAAUUAGGGACAGUCAGAGCCGUCCCUAAGAUAAUAACCUUUUUUCGAUUUAUGCAGAUUAAUAACGGAAUUACCUGCACACACUUAAGUACACAAAUGGUUGUAUAAUAAUAAUAGUAUAAUAUUGUUAGUAAUAUAAUACUAUUAUAUUAUUUUAAAGAAU
RNAcentral lists this long non-coding RNA (967 nucleotides) under Zostera marina. RNAcentral describes it as "long non-coding RNA (ZMAR_LNC003007)". The record is from RNAcentral. Lineage: Eukaryota; Viridiplantae; Streptophyta; Magnoliopsida; Alismatales; Zosteraceae.